This 1264-nucleotide long non-coding RNA is filed under the name Eucalyptus grandis. RNAcentral describes it as "long non-coding RNA (EGRA_LNC001654)". The record is from RNAcentral. Lineage: Eukaryota; Viridiplantae; Streptophyta; Magnoliopsida; Myrtales; Myrtaceae.
AUGCUCCUUAUUUAGGAAAUUAUCACCAUGAGACUGAUCAAAUUGUUUUAUUGUGUUCAAUUUCAAUUGAAAACUUUUUGUGAACCAAAAGGCCCUUAUUGUGCUUCAAAAGGCUGGAUAACACAUGCUUGCAUCUGAAGCUGGCUAAGGAAGGGUGGAUAAUUUCCCCAAAGUUCUCUUGCUUUCUUUGGAAGAGAAAGAAAGCGGAGGUAAAUUUGGUUUUAAUGAGGUAGCUUGAUAUAAGACAGUGUUUUUACUUUGCCUACAGGAUGAAAUGGAUUUCUGAUGUGUCCUCCUGAUUUUACAAGCCAUAACCAAGUAUCUCUUGGUGUUCACUAAUUCUCCUUUGCUGUCUUUAGACUCUUUACCAUUUUAUGCUGGUUUAGAAACUACACUUGGUAGGCGGAAAUGGGAUGCUUAUACCACAGUUUCUUUAUAUUUUCACCUGAUUGCUUAUUUGCCAAGCCAACUUUCCCGUUUCUUCCGCUAGAACUUAUGCUCAAGCAGGAUGAAUAUUCCAGAUUGCAUAAAGUAGCAUCCUAGUCUCAGUCUUUUGCGUGUUUAUGAGGGGAUCGUCUUUUUUCUAGCGCUGAAAUCGCCCAUCGAUCAUGUUAGGUUUGCGAUGCUUUCUGGUCAGUGUUGAACUCGUAAUUCCCCUAAACUUACUAUCAGAAAAUUCUUGGCAUUACUAUCCCGCGAUGACUUAUUCUCCCUUGAUAAUAUGAUCAAACCACUUUGACUUUGCAUAAAAUUAGGUCUAAAAUACAUUAAGGCAAUCUAUAGCAAUUAGAGUUCCCCCAACUACUUUAAGUUUGAGUAAAAUUAGGUUUCUACCACAUCAAGACAAUUAGACUUCUCCCAUUUGUAAACAUUGAUAGGUUGUUUUGUGUGCAUUUUGUACUGCCUCUCCUGUCUUUAGAUGCAAAAUAUGCAAAAUUCCACGGUUCAUUUGAUUAAAGUAGAAAACUUGCUUCCUUCUGUGGGGCAUGUAGUUUCUUCUUCAGGUAGUCAUGGCCCCUUCACACAGAUUAUAUCUUUUCUCUAAAUACUUAUCGUGAUUAAAUGUAAAUAUAUUUAAGUCUCUUUUUCCUUGGAGAGCAGAAGUUGCUCGCUUUCGGUUUUUUCUUUGUGAAGUAUAAGUUCCAUCUCUUUUCACCAUGAUGUGCCGAAUGAGUGAAGCAUGCCUUUCUUUAGAGAAGCUUCCUUUCACUCUCCCAUGAGAAUUCCAUUGCAAUGUCAUCUGACCCACUACUCUCCCUCCAGA